GGAGAGGUGGCAGAGUGGUCGAAUGCGCCGGACUCGAAAUCCGGUUCAGUGCUUGCACUGACGCGGGUUCGAAUCCCGCCCUUUCCGCCA
This 90-nucleotide transfer RNA is filed under the name Hydrogenophilales bacterium. RNAcentral's name for it is "tRNA-Ser". It matches the Rfam family "tRNA". Rfam says of the family: Transfer RNA (tRNA) molecules are approximately 80 nucleotides in length. Lineage: Bacteria; Pseudomonadati; Pseudomonadota; Hydrogenophilia; Hydrogenophilales. The record is from RNAcentral.